Stegostoma tigrinum is the source of this 1993-nucleotide RNA transcript. RefSeq lists it as uncharacterized. The record is from RefSeq and is a predicted model, not a curated record. Lineage: Eukaryota; Metazoa; Chordata; Chondrichthyes; Orectolobiformes; Stegostomatidae. The transcript is spliced from 8 exons.
UAACCUGUUCUUCCUCUCAGCCAUCCCUUCCUCCCACCCCAAGCCGCACCCCCAUCUACCUACUAACCUCAUCCCACCUCCUUGACCUGUCCGUCUUCCCUGGACUGACCUUUUCUCUCCUCUCCACCUUCGGUCCGCCUCCCCCUCUCUCCCUAUUUAUUCCAGUUCCCUCUCCCCGUCCCCCUCUCUCCCUAUUUAUUCCAGUUCCCUCUCCCCGUCCCCCUCUCUGAUGAAGGGUCUAGGCCCGAAACGUCAGCUUUUGUGCUCCUGAGAUGCUGCUCGGCCUGCUGUGCUCAUCCAGCCUCACAUUUUAUUAUUUUAGGAGAGAGAGCUGUUUUGGUUUGUGAUACAAGAGACGAGGCUGUCUAUGCCUUUCACCCAUCGGUAGCUCUCCUCCUGUCCCUGCCUCUAUGCACACACUCUGCCAGGCAGAGUCUUCCUCCCUCUGUGUGUGUGUCUCUCUCUCGCUUAAGCUCCUAAAACCUAAGAUGCAUCGGAUAUAAAAACACGCACAUAAACACACACACACACACACACACACACACAUCAACAAGCCAUGGAGAAAGAUCAGGAAUUACUGCAAGCUGUCAAAACCGAAGAUGUAGCUGCAAUGCAGAAGCUGUUGCAAAGGCCGAAACAAGGCAAAGCGAAACCAUACAAUUAGACUGUUUUGAUGAGGAACUUAAAGAUUACGAGUCCCGUCCGUUUGACUCAGAGUUUGGUACCAUAGGUUGGUACGAUCUUCGUUGGAGAAGGAAAAGGGAUGUUCCAGAUACAGAAAAUAGUCAAACCAUUUACUACAAAGUCCGUUUCUGACAACAUCAGGUGAAGAUGUGCGUGAUUUCAGCAAGGUGCUGAAAAAUAAGUUCAGAUCAAAGAAACACUUUGCCAAACAUCCUGGCUUGAGUUAUUUACUAGUACAAACAGUUCUAGAAGGCGAGAACCUUGAGAGGACACAAUCAUCGCCUUGGAAGCUUCAUCACGAUACUACUUUGCAUUUCUGAAGAGGGAAGAAGAAAUCAACAUGCAAAUUCAAUUCCAUGGUUUUGGAAGUCCCAUUGAGAACACGAUUCAUUUGCGCCGGCAUAAUGCUCUGACCGAGAAACAAUUGAAGUACCACGCUGAGUAUUGUUAUCCCGAUAGUUCUUUCGUAUCAGUCCGUGUGUAUUCCUGGGCGAAUGUGCUCGUGUGGUCUCAGGAGUUGCGGAGGUCACGGCUCUGGGACAGCCAUUUCAUCGCCCGAUGCUGCAGGAAAAAAGCAAUGAAAGUGCCGUUAAUUUUUUGCAUGGCGAGCUGCUGUAUACUAACCGGUCUCACACCAUUACCAACACCUUGCCCUUGUGAAGGCAGAUAUGGAUCAGGUUCUCAAAGCUGAUAGAAGAUUGAAACCACUCUAAUCCUGUGACGAUGAACCUGCCCCGGAAGAGAGAGCCCAGAGAAUUGCCAAAGCUGUCCGCAAACAGUCAAUAGAAGUGAAGGAAAAUUAGGAACAACUGAAAAUCCGUGCGAGCAACUGGCAGAAACAGGUGGAAAAGGCGUUGGAGAAACUUAAGAACUGCAGAAAGUUCUGGAUGAUCUUGAGGCUCAUGUGAUAACAGCUGAGGGGGUCCACACUGAUUGGCAACCUGUGAGUGACCUGCUUAUUGACUCAUUGCAGGAUCACUUUGAUCAAACCACAGGUAAGGACUAUCUUCAAAAUCUGAGAUUGGGUUUUGAAAGACAGCAGCCUUUGUUUUGGAGAGAUAAUGGGAACUGCAGAUGCUGGAGAAUGCGAGAUAACAACGUGUGGAGCUGGAUGAAGACAGCAGGCCAAGCAGCAUCUUAGGAGCACAAAAGCUGACGUUUCGGGCCAAGAACCACCUUCAGAAAAUGGGGAGGGGGUGCGGGUUCUGAAAUAAAUAGGGAGAGAGGGGGAGGCGGAUGGAAGAUGGAUGGAGGAGAAGAUAGGUGGAGAGGAGAGUAUGGGUACGGAGGCAGGGAGGGGAUAGGUCAG